Molecule: ribosomal RNA, 672 nt
Filed under: uncultured bacterium
Lineage: Bacteria
Description: bacterial SSU rRNA
Rfam family: Bacterial small subunit ribosomal RNA
Source: RNAcentral
UCCGUCAGUGAUACAGGUGUCGGGGGUCGACCUCGGUGCCGCAGUUAACCAAUAAGUAUUCCGUCUGGGGAGUACGAUCGCAAGAUUAAAACUCAAAGGAAUUGACGGGGGCCCGCACAAGCAGCGGAGCAUGUGGUUUAAUUCGAAGCAACGCGAAGAACCUUACCUAGACUUGACAUCCCCUGCAUAACCCAGAGAUGGGCGAAGUCCUUCGGGACAGGGUGACAGGUGGUGCAUGGUUGUCGUCAGCUCGUGUCGUGAGAUGUUGGGUUAAGUCCCGCAACGAGCGCAACCCUUAUCAUUAGUUGCUACCAUUAAGUUGAGCACUCUAGUGAGACUGCCCGGGUUAACCGGGAGGAAGGUGGGGAUGACGUCAAAUCAUCAUGCCCCUUAUGUCUAGGGCUACACACGUGCUACAAUGGUGAGGACAAAGAGAUGCAAGACCGCAAGGUGGAGCCAAACUCACAAACUCAUCCCAGUUCGGAUUGUAGGCUGCAACUCGCCUACAUGAAGCCGGAGUUGCUAGAAAUCGCGAAUCAUCAUGUCGCGGUGAAUACGUUCCCGGGCCUUGUACACACCGCCCGUCACACCAUGAGAGCUGGUAACACCCCAAGUCCGUGAGGUAACCGUAAGGAGCCCCCGGCCGAAAGUGGGAUUAGUGAUUGGGGUGAA